This 759-nucleotide long non-coding RNA is filed under the name Bos taurus (domestic cattle). Its description in RNAcentral is "long non-coding RNA NONBTAT000788". Lineage: Eukaryota; Metazoa; Chordata; Mammalia; Artiodactyla; Bovidae. The record is from RNAcentral.
CCUACUAUCCUCUAAGUGUCUGUGGACAGAAACUAUCUAUUGAAUCUCUAAUUUAAUUUAACAACAAAAUGAGAACAUAACAUUUUCCAUUCAUGUUUUGUUAAAUAAAUUAAUUAUGACCAGUAUCACUGAGUACAAAGUAAUAAAGCCAUGCCUCUUUCUUACUUCCAUCUCCACUCCAUUACAGAUGCAGUGUUCUAUAAAAGAUAGCAUUUUAGGAUUUUGUUCAUCACUUGUAAGAUGAAUUUCAAUAUUGGAAUCCUGGGGGUCCCAACACCACAUCCAACUUCAUUAAAUUUUGCCCUUGGCAUUGCUUGAUGACAGAUGACCCAUGACCUAGUAUGGGUGAGAAGAGGCCCAGCUGCACCAUGCCUGUCCUGGUUGCCACCCCUACAUUAAGGACUCCUGUCCCUGUUUCACACUAUCUGCAGUCACAGCUGAUGCUGGAAUCAGCAUCGUGCUCAUCAGCAGCUGUUCUAUUUGUGAUCUUGCUGUUAAAUAAAUCCAAAACGACAGGACACUAAGCUGUGGUAAAUAAUCACUACCUACAAUGUACUGUAGAGUAUUUUUUGCUAAUGAAUUCAAGAAGAAAAAAAUUAAACCUGCUUAUUGUUUCAAAAUUCAGGUGAUACUGUAAAAAAAUUAAUAAAGUACUAUUUGAUUCAGGGUUAAUUGGUAAUUAAGAGAUCAGUUCUUCCAAACACCCUGUAUAAUGUAUUUGUUUACUCUAGGGGUCAAUAAACUCUUAAUACAUCUUAC